CACUACUUUAGGUCAGCCCACUCCCGAACGGCUCCCUAUUCCCUAUUAUAGUGCACUACUUUAGGUCAGCCCACUCCCGAACGGCUCCCUAUUCCCUAUCAUGGCAUCUGAACAGACACAAACUAAGAGGUCAGCCCACUCCCGAACGGCUCCCUAUUCCCUAUUAUAGUGCACUACUUUAGGUCAGCCCACUCCCGAACGGCUCCCUAUUCCCUAUUAUAGUGCACUACUUUAGGUCAGCCCACUCCCGAACGGCUCCCUAUUCCCUAUUAUAGUGCACUACUUUAGGUCAGCCCACUCCCGAACGGCUCCCUAUUCCCUAUUAUAGUGCACUACUUUAGGUCAGCCCACUCCCGAACGGCUCCCUAUUCCCUAUUAUAGUGCACUACUUUAGGUCAGCCCACUCCCGAACGGCUCCCUAUUCCCUAUUAUAGUGCACUACUUCAGCCACUAUGUUUUAGGUGUUAAUCAGGUGUUUGUUGUGUCAUUUGUUAGAUAUUAGGUUCUGAUGAGGUGGCUGACCCUCUGGCCAAUAGUAGUGUUACCUAGGGAACAGGAUGGUGGCUGACCCUCUGGCCAGUAGUAGUGUUACCUAGGGAACAGGAUGGUGGCUGACCCUCUGGCCAGUAGUAGUGUUACCUAGGGAACAGGAUGGUGGCUGACCCUCUGGCCAGUAGUAGUGUUACCUAGGGAACAGGAUGGUGGCUGACCCUCUGGCCAGUAG
Non-coding RNA from Oncorhynchus mykiss (rainbow trout), 724 nucleotides. NCBI's taxonomy places the organism in Eukaryota, Metazoa, Chordata, Actinopteri, Salmoniformes, Salmonidae. The record is from RefSeq and is a predicted model, not a curated record.